Molecule: long non-coding RNA, 1458 nt
Filed under: Salmo salar (Atlantic salmon)
Lineage: Eukaryota; Metazoa; Chordata; Actinopteri; Salmoniformes; Salmonidae
Description: lncRNA (ENSSSAG00000113706.1)
Rfam family: UnaL2 LINE 3' element (bases 1176-1229)
Source: RNAcentral
GUUGAAUACUGUGUGUAUAAAAAUGACAAUAACAAAAAAGAAAGAAACACUUUUGAUUGAAACACUGGUUUUGUGUUCGAGAGCAGGGUUGUUUUGAAAGGCUAUCCACUAAAAGAUAUGCUGACUGAGGACAGUAUAACAGUCUUUGGGUAGGCAGCAUCAGUCAAAGGUAUCCUCCUCAACUCUGAGAGAAAUUAUGGGGUUUCUUUAGCCUUUUUCUGUAAAGAAUAUCUAGUCUUUUCACUUUAGCUAACAACAGUUUGUAUUGCUAGUUUGUAACUCCAUAUUUCCACCAACUGGCUCAUGAUCAAAAUAGCAAGAGUCUCUCUAAAGGCACUGACACACCGGUAGCGUUUGCCAGCCGAGAGUACUUAGCACCUCUGAACAGAGUGCCAGCUGUAAUUUGCAAACCGAGUGCAAACCACGCGAAAAUGUUGGCAGUCAGACGCCCACCGGCAAGUGGUCCAUAAAACACACCACGCCGAACGAACGGCGAUCGACAUUUGGUGCGAUGUGUGCGCUCUUUUAGAAAUUGAGGAGUAGGAGGAGGAGGAGGAGGAGGCGUAGGAGGAGGAGGAGGAGGAACAUAAUUUUUUUUCAGACCUUCAUCUGAGCUUUCAUCCUCUGAAAGAUAAGGAAAUGUUAAACUUAAUUGUGGAACAUUAGACACAUUUGAUUGGUUCAAUAUUCAUCAUUUUUGUCCACUUAAAAUAUCUGGAAUGAUUCAUGUGAGGUAUUUAUGAUUUGUGUUGAAAAAGUGUGUGUGUGAGUGUGUUUCUCGUCCCCACAAGGAUAGUAAAACAUGGAAAAGGGCUAUUUUAGGCUUAGGGGUUUGGUUUAGGGUUAGGGGUUAGGUAGAUUACGAUUUUGAAUGGGAAUCAAUUGUUUGAGCCCCACAAGGAUAGCAAAACAAACGUGUGUGUGUGUGUGUGUGUGUGUGUGUGUGUGUGUCUGCCACCUCUGGUCUUUUGGCCCUCUCACUCCUCUUCGAAGAGUAUUUUAAAUAAUCCCACAGCACCCCCCCUCGCACCCCCUCCUCAUGCCCAACACACUAAGACUCACACUUGACUUUUCCCCGUUACUAGCUCUGACUUUGCUAAUAACUACUUUAUUGAGGAAAAGUGUACUUACUAUGCCUGUGAUAAGUGGUUGUGACCACCUAGCUAUCUUAAGAUGAAUGCACUAACUGUAAGUCACUCUGGAUAAGAGCGUCUGCUAAAUGACUUAAAAUAAACAAUUAAAAAAAUGUGUGUGUGUGUGUGUGUGUGUGUGUGUGUGUGUGUGUGUGUGUGUGUGUGUGUGUGUGUGUGUGUGUGUGUGUGUGUGUGUGUGUGUGUGCAUGGUGCGUCCCUGUUUGAAUAUGGUCUCUUACCCUCCUGGUCCUCAACACUGUUUGCUGCAACACCUACAAUAAGGAAUGAAAGCACAUUCAUAGUAAUGUUAUUUUCUUCUCCCCAG